UCCUGGCUCAGGACGAACGCUGGCGGCGUGCUUAACACAUGCAAGUCGAACGAUGAAGCCGGAGCUUGCUCCGGUGGAUUAGUGGCGAACGGGUGAGUAACACGUGAGUAACCUGCCCUUGACUCUGGGAUAAGCGUUGGAAACGACGUCUAAUACCGGAUACGAGCUUCAGCCGCAUGGCUAGGAGCUGGAAAGAAUUUCGGUCAAGGAUGGACUCGCGGCCUAUCAGGUAGUUGGUGAGGUAACGGCUCACCAAGCCGACGACGGGUAGCCGGCCUGAGAGGGUGACCGGCCACACUGGGACUGAGACACGGCCCAGACUCCUACGGGAGGCAGCAGUGGGGAAUAUUGCACAAUGGGCGCAAGCCUGAUGCAGCAACGCCGCGUGAGGGAUGACGGCCUUCGGGUUGUAAACCUCUUUUGGUAGGGAAGAAGCCUUCGGGUGACGGUACCUGCAGAAAAAGCGCCGGCUAACUACGUGCCAGCAGCCGCGGUAAUACGUAGGGCGCAAGCGUUAUCCGGAAUUAUUGGGCGUAAAGAGCUCGUAGGCGGUCUGUCGCGUCUGCUGUGAAAACCCGAGGCUCAACCUCGGGCCUGCAGUGGGUACGGGCAGACUAGAGUGCGGUAGGGGAGAUUGGAAUUCCUGGUGUAGCGGUGGAAUGCGCAGAUAUCAGGAGGAACACCGAUGGCGAAGGCAGAUCUCUGGGCCGUAACUGACGCUGAGGAGCGAAAGGGUGGGGAGCAAACAGGCUUAGAUACCCUGGUAGUCCACCCCGUAAACGUUGGGAACUAGUUGUGGGGUCCAUUCCACGGAUUCCGUGACGCAGCUAACGCAUUAAGUUCCCCGCCUGGGGAGUACGGCCGCAAGG
Molecule: ribosomal RNA, 869 nt
Filed under: marine metagenome
Description: bacterial SSU rRNA
Rfam family: Bacterial small subunit ribosomal RNA
Source: RNAcentral